GACCGCGUAGCUCAGUUGGCAGAGCAUUGGGCUAGUAUUCCAAAGGUCGUAGGUUCGAUUCCCGCCGUAGUCA
RNAcentral lists this transfer RNA (73 nucleotides) under Paramuricea clavata. It matches the Rfam family "tRNA". From Rfam's summary of the family: Transfer RNA (tRNA) molecules are approximately 80 nucleotides in length. Their secondary structure includes four short double-helical elements and three loops (D, anti-codon, and T loops). Lineage: Eukaryota; Metazoa; Cnidaria; Anthozoa; Malacalcyonacea; Plexauridae. The record is from Rfam by way of RNAcentral.